This is a non-coding RNA of Podarcis lilfordi (Lilford's wall lizard), 3011 nucleotides long. The record is from the annotation of a GenBank genome assembly. NCBI's taxonomy places the organism in Eukaryota, Metazoa, Chordata, Lepidosauria, Squamata, Lacertidae.
GACAGUUUCCGGCGAGGAGUGGGUGUUCUUACAGGAGGUUCUGAAACCUCCCCACUGUUUUCGCUGGAAGUGUCUCUGAGCCAUCCCUCCAGCUCAGCUCCUCUCCCCCUGCUGGUUCCUUCUUCAGCUGCUGCGUCUCUCCCAACCUGUGUGAGCCCUUUCACCUCCCUGUUGGUUCCCUCUUCAGCUGCUGCGUCUCUCCCAACCUGUGUGAGCCCUUUCACCUCCCUUCCGUCCGAUGGCAGUUCCCUGACAUCCACCUCCCCUCCAGGGCCCCCUUCACCCCCUCUCGCCCCCUCCUCUACGGGCGGUGAGGAGGCAAAACCCUGAAUGAACUUCCUUCAUCUUCCGAUGUCUCGAACACUUCUCUCAACCUGUUGCGGUUCCUGGUCUCGAAGUACACCUCCUCCUCAGAGUCCAUCUCCCCUUCCCCUUCCGAGUCCGGGAAUCCUUCCAACUCCUCCCCUUCAUCAGUGGUCCCAAAGUAUUCCCUCCGGAACCUCUCCACAGGCUGAGGUUUCCUUGGGAACCUUUGAUGGAACGUUUCUAUCAAUACCUCGUCAUUGAUAUCUUCAGCCAUUACCCAAGUGUUUUCUGACUCCGGUUCUCCUUCCCACGCUACCAAAUACUCCACCUGAUCCCCCUUCCACCUGGCGUCGAGGAUUUCAGCCACAUGGCUGCUGCAUUCUCUUUCUUCUACGACCGGUCACCGAGUGGCCAGCCCUUCUCGUCCCCCUUCGUACGGUGACAGUAACGACCUGUGAAAUACUGGGUGCAGUUUCAUGUGGUUGGGUAACCGGAGCCUGAAAGCCACUGGGUUGACCUGUUGAAUGACCUCAAAGGGACCCAACCUCCUGGGUCUUAAUUUCUUACAACCUCCUUUGAACGGCAACCCUUGGGUUGACAGCCACACCCUAUCUCCCACCCUUAUGGUUUCACCUUCCCUUCGGUUCUUGUCUGCCUGCCUCUUGUAUUCUUCCUUCGCCCUUUCUAAGUUGAGUUGGAGCUGACGAUGGAUUGCUUCCAUUUCUUCCACAAAAUGUUCGGCUGCCGGGACGCUCCAUCUCUCCCCUCUCCCCUGGGAAAGCCCUGGGAUGACACCCAUAAUUAGCCAAGAAGGGGCUCAUCCCUGUGGACACAUUCUCGGCAUUGUUGUAGGCAAAUUCCGCCAGCGCCAACUUUUCUACCCAGUCAUUCUCUCUGUCAUUGACAUAACACCUCAGGUAUUGCUGGAGGACACCGUUUGCUCUUUCCGCCUGCCCGUUGGUUUCAGGGUGCCGGGCAGUCGAAAAAUUGACCUCCACCUGCAGUAAGCUCAUGAGCUUCCUCCAGAACCUGGAAGUAAAUUGUUUUCCUCGGUCUGAGACCACCCUCAAUGGCACCCCGUGCAACCUAAAAAUGUUUUCUACAAAUAACUUCGCUGUCUCUUCCGCCGUGACUGCAUGCGAGCAAGCUACAAAGUGGCACAUCUUUGUUAGUAGGUCUACCACCACCAUGAUGGCUGUUUUCCCUUUGGACUUCGGCAGAUCAGUCAUAAAAUCUAUCGACACUGCCUCCCAAGGUCGUUCUGGGGUUGGUAAGGGUUCUAAUAGCCCCGCCGGCGCCCGCCUUUCCCCUUUGGCUCGCUGGCAUUGCUCGCACCCUCUUACAUACUCACGUACAUCUUCCCUCACCUUAGGCCACCAAAAUUCCCUGGUGACCAACCACAUGGUUUUGUGUUGUCCAAAAUGCCCCGCCGUAGGGCUGUCGUGCAACUGCUUGAGUACCCUCCCCUUAACUCUCCUUCAGGGAUAUACAGUGCCCCUUUGUAAUACAAAGCUCCAUUUCUUUCCUCGAAACCCCCUGGUUCCUCUCCAUCACCCCUAAGACCUCUGAGCUUAUUCUGGGCGUAUUCAUCAUUCUCUGUUUCCUCUACCAGUUCUCUUUGUCCCACCAAUGCCGCCCCACACACCCAGCGGUCUUCUGGAAUGACAUGUCUCUCUUCGGGUGCCCCCUCCCCUCCAAAUAUUCAGGUUUGCGUGAGAGAGCGUCCGCCCUAAUGUUCUCUGGGCCUGGCACGUAACUAAUCUCAAAGUUAAAUUUGGAGAACUCCUGGGCCCAUCUCACUUGCCGUUGGUUGAGCACUCGUGCCGUCCUCCAAUACUCUAGGUUCUUGUGGUCAGUGCACACUUGCACCUUAUGUUGUGCGCCAAUUAGCAGGUGCCUCCAUCUCCGGAACGCCUCAUGAAUGGCUAGUAGUUCUCGGUCAUACACCGUGUAGUUCCUCUCGGAUUUGUUCAGCUUUCGCGAAAAAAGGCACACGGUCUCCACUCUGACCCCUUCUUGCCUGGCUGCAGAAGCACCGCCCCAAUCGCUCUGUCUGAUGCGUCAGUUUCCACUCUCAUCGGUUUUUGUAAAUCCACAUGCAGGAGUUGUUGUUCCGAGGCGAAGGCCCUUUUUAGUUCCUCAAAUGCUCGCUCCGCCUCCUCAGUCCACACGAACUUCUUCUUACUGCUGAGACAGUCCGUAAUGGGCGCCGUCAGGUGGGCAAAGUUUCGGAUGAACUUACGAUAGAAGUUCCCAAAUCCUAGGAACCUCUGCACAUCCUUCUUUGUUUUGGGUGUUUUCCAUUCCAGUACUGCCUGGACCUUGCCGGGAUCCAUGGCCAAUCCCUUGUCUGACAGGCGAUACCCCAGGAAUUCCACCUCCUUGGUAUGAAACUGACACUUCUCCAGUUUCACCCACAGCUGGUUGGCUUGCAGCCUGCUCAACACUUCUCUGACGUCUCUCACAUGCUGCUCCUCAUUCUCAGAAUACACCAACACGUCGUCUAAAAAGGCCACACAAUUCUUGUAAAGCAAAGGCCCCAGGACGUGGUUCAUAAACGAUUGAAAUGUUGCGGAGCCUGCUUGUAGGCCGAAGGGCAUAACCAAAUAUUCAAAUGCCCCUAAAGGGGUGAACAUAGUGGUUUUCCAUUCAUCCCCCUUCCUUAUUCGUACCAGGUUGUACGCCCCCCUUAGGUCCAGCUUUGU